CGAGGAGCAGCGCGUAGGGAGCGACCACCGCCAACCACCCACCGCUCUCACAGUCCUCUCCUGUGCCCCCCCUCCAUCACCCCACCACUAACACCAUCUCCUCUCCGCAACGAGAAAAAAAAAUUACACACAUCCGCAGGGGGUGAUGUGCAACUAAUUAAAGGCAGGCUGGCAGUGUCUGCAAUUCCUAAGGCUCCCUAAAUAAAAAAGAGACUGCUGGAGGAGGAUGCCCAGGGAGCCGCUGCCCGGACGGUCGGCGUCGGUGGAGAUGCGCCCGGAGCAGCAGCAGCAGCAGCAGCAGCAGCAGGAGGAGGAGGAGGAGGCGGAGUAGAGCCGUUGGCCACCAUCCCCUUCC
Long non-coding RNA from Tachyglossus aculeatus (Australian echidna), 355 nucleotides. RefSeq lists it as uncharacterized. The record is from RefSeq and is a predicted model, not a curated record. Lineage: Eukaryota; Metazoa; Chordata; Mammalia; Monotremata; Tachyglossidae. The transcript is spliced from 3 exons.